Molecule: ribosomal RNA, 458 nt
Filed under: uncultured bacterium
Lineage: Bacteria
Description: partial 16S ribosomal RNA
Rfam family: Bacterial small subunit ribosomal RNA
Source: RNAcentral
CCUACGGGAGGCAGCAGUGAGGAAUAUUGGUCAAUGGACGAGAGUCUGAACCAGCCAAGUAGCGUGAAGGAUGACUGCCCUAUGGGUUGUAAACUUCUUUUAUCAAGGAAUAAAACGAGGCACGUGUGCCUUUUUGCAUGUACUUUAUGAAUAAGGAUCGGCUAACUCCGUGCCAGCAGCCGCGGUAAUACGGAGGAUCCGAGCGUUAUCCGGAUUUAUUGGGUUUAAAGGGAGCGUAGAUGGGUUGUUAAGUCAGUUGUGAAAGUUUGCGGCUCAACCGUAAAAGUGCAAUUGAUACUGGCAGUCUUGAGUGCAGUUAAGGUAGGCGGAAUGCGGGGUGUAGCGGUGAAAUGCUGAGAUAUCGCGGAGAACCGAUUGCGAAGGCAGCAUACUAAACUGUGACUGACGUUGAUGCUCGAAAGUGUGGGUAUCGAACAGGAUUAGAUACCCGGGUAGUC